Long non-coding RNA from Mus caroli (Ryukyu mouse), 617 nucleotides. RefSeq lists it as uncharacterized. Lineage: Eukaryota; Metazoa; Chordata; Mammalia; Rodentia; Muridae. The record is from RefSeq and is a predicted model, not a curated record.
UUAUACACACCUUCCUCAGGCCAGCAAAGCAUCUAUUACUGCUGGCCUUUCCUCUUAGGACUGCAGUCAAAAGAGAAUUCCUAAGCUAAGCCAAGACACAGCGCAGAAAAAAAAAAUGUCUCCAGAAGUCUGCUGAACUGAUUGUCAGCUGCAGCAGUGACAACGCGGACCUAAGUCUGGUUCCCAGUAUCCAGGUCAGAUGGCACAGUGACUCAUAACCUCCAGUAACUCACAGCUCCACGGGAUCCGAUGUCUCCGACCUCUGUGGGUACCUGCACUCCUGUGACCACAAUCCUUACACAUAUAUAGCAUUUCUUAAAUGAAAUAAAUCAGAGAGUCAAGGUUAUUCUUGGCCGUGUAACGAGUUGGAGGCAAGCCCGGGCUAAUUAAAGCAUGUCUCAAGAAAAGAAGAGGGAGGCUGGCUGGAGAAGACUUGCUAUUAUGAGAAGGACCCAGAUUGGGUUGUGGGCACUCAGAUGCAUGCCCACAACCAUCAGUAACUCCAGAAGCCAAUGCUCUGUUUUGGCUCCAAGGGCAAUGAGCACGAAUGUGGCAGACAUAAUACAUGUAGGGAAAAUAUGCAUAUACCUAAAAUUAAAUACAUUUUGAAAAGUAAA